RNAcentral lists this ribosomal RNA (488 nucleotides) under Cryptosporidium sp. RNAcentral's name for it is "SSU rRNA". It matches the Rfam family "Eukaryotic small subunit ribosomal RNA", at positions 514 to 1024 of the family's 1831-position model. The record is from RNAcentral. Lineage: Eukaryota; Apicomplexa; Conoidasida; Eucoccidiorida; Cryptosporidiidae.
AUGAGUUAAGUAUAAACCCCUUUACAAGUAUCAAUUGGAGGGCAAGUCUGGUGCCAGCAGCCGCGGUAAUUCCAGCUCCAAUAGCGUAUAUUAAAGUUGUUGCAGUUAAAAAGCUCGUAGUUGGAUUUCUGUUAAUAAUUUAUAUUAAAUAUUUUGAAUAUUGAUAUAGUAUUAACAUAAUUCAUAUCAUUAUAUAUUUAUAAUGUAUGAAAUUUUACUUUGAGAAAAUUAGAGUGCUUAAAGCAGGUAUAUUGCCUUGAAUACUUCAGCAUGGAAUAAUAAUAAGAGAUUUUUAUCUUUCUUUUUUAUUGGUUCUAAGAUAGAAAUAAUGAUUAAUAGGGACAGUUGGGGGCAUUUGUAUUUAACAGUUAGAGGUGAAAUUCUUAGAUUUGUUAAAGACAAACUAAUGCGAAAGCAUUUGCCAAGGAUGUUUUCAUUAAUCAAGAACGAAAGUUAGGGGAUCGAAGACGAUCAGAUACCGUCGUAGU